Molecule: ribosomal RNA, 466 nt
Filed under: Redigobius sp. NMBE 1066419
Lineage: Eukaryota; Metazoa; Chordata; Actinopteri; Gobiiformes; Gobiidae
Description: partial 12S ribosomal RNA
Rfam family: Bacterial small subunit ribosomal RNA
Source: RNAcentral
CUUGCCCGGGAACUACGAGCCUCAGCUUAAAACCCAAAGGACUUGGCGGUGCUUUAGUCCCCCCUAGAGGAGCCUGUUCUAGAACCGAUAAUCCCCGUUUAACCUCACCCUCCCUUGUUCCUCCCGCCUAUAUACCGCCGUCGUCAGCUUGCCCUAUGAAGGACACACAGCAGGCACAAUUGGCAAAACCCAAAACGCCAGGUCGAGGUGUAGCUUACGAGAGGGGAAGAAAUGGGCUACAUUCCCUGAUCCAGGGAACAACGGAAAAUGGCUUGAAACAGACAUUUGAAGGAGGAUUUAGCAGUAAGAAAAGAAAGAGAACCUUUCUGAAACCGGCCCUGAAGCGCGCACACACCGCCCGUCACUCUCCCCAAAACACCAUUAGACAAUAAAUAAAAAGUAAUCAAAACAAAGGGGAGGCAAGUCGUAACAUGGUAAGUGUACCGGAAGGUGCACUUGGAAAAAC